Molecule: long non-coding RNA, 1188 nt
Filed under: Sinocyclocheilus anshuiensis
Lineage: Eukaryota; Metazoa; Chordata; Actinopteri; Cypriniformes; Cyprinidae
Description: lncRNA (ENSSANG00000014207.1)
Source: RNAcentral
ACCCCAUAUCACCCAAUGGGGAAUGGUGCCGUUGAGCGUUUCAACAGGACGCUUGGAAAUAUGAUUCGUGCGUUACCUCCAGGUGAGAAACAUGAUUCGCCGAGGCGGUUACAGUCUCUCACUUUCAUGUAUAAUUGUACAGUGCAUGAGACUACAGGAUUUGCCGCUUUUUAUCUCAUGUUUGGGAGGGUCCCCUGUCUGCCUGUAGACAUGAUGUUUCGAAGUGUUUUGAGUGACUCGACAUCAACUAAUUACUCUAAGUAUGUGUCUUCCCUAUCAAAAGAUCUUUCUGAAGCUAUGAACAUAGCUCAAAAACUUGCGUCUAAGGAGCAACAACGUCAUGCUGUGCUGUACAACAGAAAGGCAAAAGGGUCUAAUAUUGAUGUCUCUGAUCGCGUAUUACUGGCAAACCAUGCUGAAAGGGGGAAGAAAAAAAUCGCUGAUCGUUGGGAAUCUACGGUGUAUAUGGUGGUUGACAAAUUUCCUAGCACAAACACAUUCAGAAUUCAUAAUACUGUCACUGGCCAGGAGAAAAUAGUUCACCGUAAUUUGUUGUUAUUGGCCAACGUCCUUCCUGUGAUGGAUAUCUGCUAUAAUGAUUCAGCAUCUCUGUCCCCUUCAAGUGAUGCUGAAGCUGAUGAUCCAUCGUCAAUUGAGAUUCCCCCUCCGCAUUUCAUUCAAGAUGAGAUUACUGUUGGAGUUUCUGAUGAUAACUGUUCAGAUGAGACCAUUAAUGCAGGUUCUAAUGUUGACACCAGCAAGACGGUUCUUGAUGACCCUGCUAGUAUUGUCCCCAAUCCAGCUGAAUCUGUGCCUAUAAUGGAUGAAACGGAUAUCUGUGAACACACGGAGGCAACUUCUUCGGGUUCUUGUGUCAAAGACUGUACCUAUAGAACUCUAGAAUGGGUCUCUCAGUUACCUGAUGAUAGCUCUGAUCGAGCUGAUCCUGGUUUGCAAAGCGAGGUGUCUUAUCCUGUCAAUGCAACCAAUGAUUCUGAUGCGGUGGAUGGAAUGGCAGGUGGAUCUACUGCUCUUCCAGAACAGUUUUCUGUGACUUUAACACUAUUAAACCAGCAAUGUGAUUCGAGCGGUAGUCAAUCUGUUCAAGAGCGAGUCAAUGACGACGCUCCAAGUGGAUUUGUUCAAGUGACAUCCCGAUUUGUACGUGUUAUUAAACCUGUGAACAGA